Molecule: microRNA precursor, 96 nt
Filed under: Petromyzon marinus (sea lamprey)
Lineage: Eukaryota; Metazoa; Chordata; Hyperoartia; Petromyzontiformes; Petromyzontidae
Description: microRNA pma-mir-4557 precursor
Source: miRBase by way of RNAcentral
GCGUCGUCUCUCUGUAGAAAUGCUUCCAGUGACUGUGUCUGGAAAAGCCCUCGCAUUGCCACGUUUGCUGGAAGCAAGUCUAUAUGGAGAUGGGAG